AUGGUUUUUCAGGUGCAGAUUUUCAGCUUCCUGCUCAUCUGUGUCACAGUGUCCAGUGCAAAAAUUGUGCUCACCCAGUCUCCAGCAUCCAUGGCUGCAUCUCAAGGGAAGAAAGUCACUAUGACCUGUAGUGCCAGCUCAAGUAUGAGCUCCAGUUACUUGAACUGGUACCAGAAGAAGCCAGGAGCCUCUCCCAAACUCCUGAUUUAUAGAACAUCCAGCCUGGCUUCUGGAGUCCCAGCUCGCUUCAGUGGCAGUGGGUCUGGGACCUCUUACUCUCUCACAAUCAGCAGCAUGGAAGCUGAAGAUGCUGCCACAUAUUACUGUCAGUAUUGGAGUGGUGAACAAGUCUCACAGUGA
Non-coding RNA from Peromyscus eremicus (cactus mouse), 360 nucleotides. Lineage: Eukaryota; Metazoa; Chordata; Mammalia; Rodentia; Cricetidae. The record is from the annotation of a RefSeq genome assembly.